CCGACCUGCACACCUACAGCAUCCUCAUCAACCGCUUCUGCCGCAUCGGACGCCUGGAGCUUGGUUUCGCCGCCUUUGGCCUCAUCCUUAAGACAGGCUGGAGGGUGAAUGGCAUAGUCAUCAAUCCACUGCUCAAAGGUGUCUGUGACAGAAAGUGCGUGUCUGAGGCCAUGGACAUAUUGCUCCGACGAAUGCCUGAGUUUGGCUGCACGCCAGAUGUAGUUUCAUACAGCACAGUUCUAAAGGGUUUAUGCGACGAAAAGAGAGCUGAGGAGGCACUUGAGCUGCUCCACAUGAUGGCCGAUGAUGGAGGUGGUAGCUGCCCACCAAAUGUCGUGGUGUACACCACCGUCAUCAAUGGCUUGUUUAGAGACGGUCAGGUGGACAAAGCUUACAACCUAUUUCGUGAAAUGGAUGACCGGGGGAUUUCGCCGACUGUUGUGACCUACACCACAGUCAUUGAUGGCCUGAGCAAAGCUCAAGCAGUUGACAGGGCCGAGGGCGUCCUUCAGCAGAUGAUUCAUAAAGGUGUCAAGCCAAACAAUCAGACAUAUAAUUGUCUGAUCCAUGGAUAUUGCUCUUCAGGACAGGGGAAAGAGGUGGUUCGAAUGCUCAAAGAAAUGUCCGCGCAUGGUCAUAAGCCAGAUACUGUCACUUGUACUUUGCUGCUGGAUCACCUUUGCAAGAGUGGAAGAUGCACAGAGGCUAGAAAGAUUUUUGAUUCUAUGAUUGAAAAGGGCACAAAACCUGAUGUAACUACAUAUGGCGUUCUGCUUCAUGGUUAUGCUACCAAAGGAGCUCUUUCUGAUAUGCGUGGCCUCUUGGAUUUGAUGGUAGAAAAUGGUGUUUCACCUGACCAUCAUACCUUUAACAUAGUUCUCUGUGCGUUUGCUAAAGGUGGUAUGAUAGAUGAGGCAAUGCAUAUAUUUGACCAAAUGAGGCAGCAAGGGUUGAGUCCUAAUGUAGUCAACUAUGGAGCAUUAAUAGAUGCACUUUGCAAGUUGGGAAGAGUGGAUGAGGCAAUGCUUAAAUUCAAUCAGAUGAUCCAUGAAGGGGUGACUCCUGAUAUCGUUGUUUUUAACUCACUAGUUUAUGGACUGUGCACUGUUGACAAAUGGGAGAAGGCCGAGGAAUUAUUUUCUGAAAUGCUGAACCAAGGGAUCCAUCCCAAUGCCACGUUCUUCAACACAAUUAUGCGUAACCUUUGCAAUGGAGGACGGGUCAUGGAAGCUCAGAGUCUCCUUGACUUGAUGGUACAUGUAGGUGUGAGACCUAAUGUUAUCUCAUAUAAUACAUUAAUAGAUGGCUACUGCUUAGCUGGUAGGAUGAAGGAAGCUGUGAAGUUACUUGAUGCUAUGGUCCCAGUUGGCUUGAAACCAAAUACCGUUUCUUUUAGUACUUUGCUUCAUGGCUAUUGUAGAGCUGGCAGGAUAGAUGAUGCAGUUAGACUAUUCAGAGAAAUGUUGAGCAAUGAAGUUAAGCCUGGAAUUGUCACUUAUAACAUUGUACUUCAUGGUUUGUUUCAGUCUGGGAAGUUUUCUGAAGCAAAAGAACUCUAUCUCAAUAUGAUCAAAAGUGGAAUGCAGCUGAACAUUUACACGUACAGCACAAUUCUGAAUGGUCUUUGCAAAAAUAAAUGUGUUGAUGAGGCAUUUAAAAUAUUUCAGAGUCUAUGUUCUAAGGGUUUUCAACUUCACAUCAUUACCUUCAAUAUUAUGAUCGAUGCUUUGCUCAAAAGUGGCAGAAAGGAAGAUGCUAUGGAUAUGUUCACUGCUAUCUCUGCCCAUGGUUUAGGUCCAGAUGUUGUGACCUAUCGCUUAAUGAUAGAAAAUCUCAUAAAAGAAGGGUUGCUAGAAGAGUCUGACAAUCUGUUUUCAGCAAUGGAAAAGAGUGGAUGCACUCCAAACUCAUGUAUGCUAAAUGCUCUAGUUAGGAGGCUGUUGCAUAGAGGUGAGAUAAUGAGGGUUGGGGCUUACCUCUCCAAAAUUGAUGAGAUGAACUUCUCACUUGAGGCAGCCACUACUUCCUUGCUAAUAUCAGUUUUGUCGAGGGAGGAAUAUCAGCACCAUGCAAAGUCCCUGCCUGAAAAGUAUCAUUUUCUUAAUGAGAUAAAUAAAUGAGGAUUUUUUUUCAGAGGAAUUGGAUUCUCAACUGUGUUGAGACAUCUUUAUGUGGCGCGUAAAUUUGUUGGAGUGAUUAUGUCUGUCUAUUGCAGUGAUUAUUUCUGUCUCAUGCUCUAAUUUACUUACCAUAUUCUACGGUCUCCUUUCUUUAGAGAAAUGUUAUCAUGAUAGUGCUCUUCGGUUGGUCAUGCUAGUCAUGGAAUCUCAAGCAUCUAUUCUGAACAAUUUUCAGGCGAAGUCAGGUGGAUUGUUCCGAGUCCGUCCCUGUUGAAGCGGGUAAACCACUUAACCUGCUGCCAAAGCAGUUGCAACCAGUCUCUCUCUCCCCUACGCUAACAUUGGUGUCUGGGCAAGUUGUAAAUAUUUCUGCAAUACACAACCAAUGUGAGCCCAUGCCGCCAGCCAUGGCAGGUUUGUUCAUCAAUACCGCGGCUUCAUCUUGUCCUCGAUGGCUCGAUCUAAUGAAAUAGGAAACAGCAUGUCCGUGAAGAUCCUGAUCCAUGUCCACAUAAAUCUCUAUGAUCUGUAAUAAAAAAAAAAUCUCUGUGGUCUCA
This is an RNA transcript of Panicum hallii, 2677 nucleotides long. RefSeq lists it as uncharacterized. The record is from RefSeq and is a predicted model, not a curated record. The transcript has 3 exons. Lineage: Eukaryota; Viridiplantae; Streptophyta; Magnoliopsida; Poales; Poaceae.